This 383-nucleotide ribosomal RNA is filed under the name uncultured eukaryote. Its description in RNAcentral is "partial 18S ribosomal RNA". It matches the Rfam family "Eukaryotic small subunit ribosomal RNA", at positions 592 to 976 of the family's 1831-position model. The record is from RNAcentral.
CAAUAGCGUAUAUUAAAGUUGUUGCGGUUAAAAAGCUCGUAGUUGGAUCUCGGCAGGCAGGGGGUGGUUCGCUCUUAGCGCUACUGCCCCAUUUGCCUGUGUGAUUGGCGGAGGUUUCGGGGUGCUCUUCGUUGAGUGACCCGGGGCGCCGUCAGGUUUACUUUGAAGAAAUUAGAGUGCUCAAAGCAGGCUUUUCACGCUUGAAUAUUCGUGCAUGGAAUAAUGGAAUAGGAACUCGUUUCUAUUUUGUUGGUUUUCGGAAAUCGAGUUAAUGAUUAAUAGGGACAAUUGGGGGCAUUAGUAUUCAGACGACAGAGGUGAAAUUCUUGGACCGUCUGAAGACUAACUACUGCGAAAGCAUUUGCCAAGAGUGUUUUCAUUAA